RNAcentral lists this ribosomal RNA (497 nucleotides) under uncultured bacterium. Its description in RNAcentral is "partial 16S ribosomal RNA". It matches the Rfam family "Bacterial small subunit ribosomal RNA", at positions 28 to 507 of the family's 1533-position model. The record is from RNAcentral.
GAUGAACGCUGGCGGCGUGCCUAAUACAUGCAAGUCGAGCGAACAGAUGAGGAGCUGGCUCCUCUGACGUUAGCGGCGGACGGGUGAGUAACACGUGGAUAACCUACCUAUAAGACUGGGAUAACUUCGGGAAACCGGAGCUAAUACCGGAUAAUAUAUUGAACCGCAUGGUUCAAUAGUGAAAGACGGUUUUGCUGUCACUUAUAGAUGGAUCCGCGCCGCAUUAGCUAGUUGGUAAGGUAACGGCUUACCAAGGCGACGAUGCGUAGCCGACCCGAGAGGGUGAUCGCCCACACUGGCACUGAGACACGGUCCAGACUCCUACGGGAGGCAGCAGUAGGGAAUCUUACGCAAUGGGCGAAAGCCUGACGGAGCAACGCCGCGUGAGUGAUGAAGGUCUUCGGAUCGUAAAACUCUGUUAUUAGGGAAGAACAAAUGUGUAAGUACCUAUGCACGUCUUGACGGUACCUAAUCAGAAAGCCACGGCUAACUACGUG